This 89-nucleotide small nuclear RNA is filed under the name Eurypyga helias (sunbittern). RNAcentral describes it as "7SK RNA". It matches the Rfam family "7SK RNA", at positions 7 to 100 of the family's 331-position model. From Rfam's summary of the family: 7SK was discovered as an abundant small nuclear RNA in the mid-70s but a possible function has only recently been suggested. Lineage: Eukaryota; Metazoa; Chordata; Aves; Eurypygiformes; Eurypygidae. The record is from Rfam by way of RNAcentral.
GAGGGCGGCCUGGCUGUGACAUCUGUCACCCCAUUGAUGGCCAGGGUUGAUUCGGCUGAGCUGGCAGGCGGGUGUCCCCUUCCUUCCUC